UUGCAUGUUAUAAGUUUUUCACCUGGAGCUGUUACUGUCUGCUGCCAAGAUUCUGGUGCAGAUGCAAGAUAAAAGGGUCCUCACACUUUCUGUCUGACUGGGACAGCCAAGAUUGAAUGAGGAAAUAUAAUG
Molecule: small nucleolar RNA, 132 nt
Filed under: Pteropus vampyrus (large flying fox)
Lineage: Eukaryota; Metazoa; Chordata; Mammalia; Chiroptera; Pteropodidae
Description: Small nucleolar RNA SNORA31 (ENSPVAG00000029770.1)
Source: RNAcentral